UGACCCGCUCGUUGAUGGUGCGCAGCAGCGACGUCUCCGGGACGCCGAGCGAGGGGUUCUCCCGCUCCGCUGUCAGGUCCAGCGGCAGGUCGUC
This 94-nucleotide transfer RNA is filed under the name Actinomycetes bacterium. Its description in RNAcentral is "Actinomycetia bacterium tRNA-Arg(ccg)". The record is from RNAcentral. Lineage: Bacteria; Bacillati; Actinomycetota; Actinomycetes.